UUCGAUUAUGGCUCAGAUUGAACGCUGGCGGGAUGGCGCUUUACACGCCAGUCGAACGGCAGCACGGACUUCGUCCUGGUGGCGAGUGGCGAACGGGUGAGUAAUGUAUCGGAACGUGCCUAGUAGCGGGGGAUAACUACGCGAAAGCGCACUUCUUCCUAUACGCCCUUCGGGGGAAAGCGGGGACCUUCGGAGCCUCGCACUAUUAAACAGCCGAUAUCGGAUUGGCUAGUUGGUGGGGUAACGGCUCGCAAGGCGACGAUCCGUAGCUGGUUUGAGAGGACGACCAGCCACGCAGGACUGAGACACGGCCCAGACUCUGCGGGGAGAGCGGCAGUGGGGAAUUUUGGACAAUGGGGGAAACCUGAUCCAGCCAUCCGCGUGUGCGAUGAAGGCCUUCCGGGUUGUAAAACUUUGGCAGGAAAGAAACGGCACGGGAUAAUACCCCGUGCAACUGACGGCUUACCUGCAGAAUAGCUUGUCCCAUUAACUACGUGCCAGCAGCCAUGACCAGGCUACGUAGGGUGCAAGCGUUAAUCGGAAUUACUUCCAGGCGCAAAGCGUGCGCAGGCGGUUCGGAAAGAAGAUGUGAAAUCCCAGAGCUUAACUUUGGAACUGCAUUUUUAACUACCGAGCUAGGUAUGUCGAGGUGGAAACUCCGCGUGUAGCAGUGAAAUGCGUAGAUAUGCGGAGGAACACCGAUGGCGGAAAGCAGCCUCCUGGGAUAACACUGACGCUCAUGCACGAAAGCGUGGGGAGCAAAACAGGAUUGAUACCCUGGUAGUCCACGCCCUAAACGAUCAUCAACUAGCUGUUAGGGCCUUCGGGCCUUGGUAAGCGCAGCAGCGCGUGAAGUUGACCAUACGAUGCAGUCGCAAGAUUAAAACUCAAAGGAAUUGACGGGGACCCGCACAAACGGUGGAUGAUGUGGAUUAAUUCGAUUACAGCGCGAAAAACCUUACCUACCCUUGACAUGUCUGGAAUCCCGAAGAGAUUUGGGAGUGCUCGCAAGAGAACCGGAACACAGGUGCUGCAUGGCUGUCGUCAGCUCGUGUCGUGAGAUGUUGGGUUAAGUCCGCAACGAGCGCAACCCUUGUCAUUAGUUGCUACGAAAGGGCACUCUAAUGAGACUGCCGGUGACAAACCGGAGGAAGGUGGGGAUGACGUCAAGUCCUCAUGGCCCAUAUGGGUAGAGAACUACACGUCAUACAAUGGUCGGGACAGAGGGUCGCCAACCGCGAGGAGAAGGCCAAUCCAAGCCAGUCAAUAGUCGGAUCACCGGUCUGCAACUCGACUGCGUGAAGUCGGAGAUCCUUAGUAAUCGCGGAUCAACAUGUCGCGGUGAAUACGUUCGGGUCUUGUACACACCGCCCGUCACACCAUGGGGUAGGUUUUACCAGAAGUAGUUAGCCUAACCGUAAGGAGGGCGAUUACCACGGUAGGAUUCAUGACUGGAGUGAAGUCGGCAACAAGGUAG
Molecule: ribosomal RNA, 1477 nt
Filed under: uncultured Bordetella sp.
Lineage: Bacteria; Pseudomonadati; Pseudomonadota; Betaproteobacteria; Burkholderiales; Alcaligenaceae
Description: partial 16S-23S ribosomal RNA intergenic spacer
Rfam family: Bacterial small subunit ribosomal RNA
Source: RNAcentral